RNAcentral lists this ribosomal RNA (431 nucleotides) under uncultured bacterium. RNAcentral describes it as "bacterial SSU rRNA". It matches the Rfam family "Bacterial small subunit ribosomal RNA", at positions 29 to 506 of the family's 1533-position model. The record is from RNAcentral.
ACGAACGCUGGCGGCAUGCCUAACACAUGCAAGUCGAACGAGACCUUCGGGUCUAGUGGCGGACGGGUGAGUAACGCGUGGGAACCUGCACUUCAGUGGGGGAUAACGACGGGAAACUGUCGCUAAUACCGCAUACGCCCUACGGGGGAAAGAUUUAUCGCUGAAGGAUGGGCCCGCGUCGGAUUAGCUAGUUGGUGAGGUAACGGCUCACCAAGGCGACGAUCCGUAGCUGGUCUAAGAGGAUGAUCAGCCACACUGGGACUGAGACACGGCCCAGACUCCUACGGGAGGCAGCAGUGGGGAAUAUUGGACAAUGGGGGAAACCCUGAUCCAGCAAUGCCGCGUGAGUGAUGAAGGCCUUAGGGUUGUAAAGCUCUUUCGGUGGUGACGAUGAUGACGGUAACCACAGAAGAAGCCCCGGCUAACUCCGU